Molecule: ribosomal RNA, 393 nt
Filed under: bacterium enrichment culture clone ALO1_GLFRUDD03GINDL
Lineage: Bacteria
Description: bacterial SSU rRNA
Rfam family: Bacterial small subunit ribosomal RNA
Source: RNAcentral
GAGUUUGAUCUUGGCUCAGAUUGAACGCUGGCGGCAGGCCUAACACAUGCAAGUCGAGCGGAUGACGGGAGCUUGCUCCUUGAUUCAGCGGCGGACGGGUGAGUAAUGCCUAGGAAUCUGCCUGGUAGUGGGGGACAACGUUUCGAAAGGAACGCUAAUACCGCAUACGUCCUACGGGAGAAAGCAGGGGACCUUCGGGCCUUGCGCUAUCAGAUGAGCCUAGGUCGGAUUAGCUAGUUGGUGGGGUAAUGGCUCACCAAGGCGACGAUCCGUAACUGGUCUGAGAGGAUGAGUCAGUCACACUGGAACUGAGACACGGUCCAGACUCCUACGGGAGGCAGCAGUGGGGAAUAUUGGACAAUGGGCGAAAGCCUGAUCCGAGCCAUGCCGCGU